Molecule: ribosomal RNA, 300 nt
Filed under: uncultured bacterium
Lineage: Bacteria
Description: partial 16S ribosomal RNA
Rfam family: Bacterial small subunit ribosomal RNA
Source: RNAcentral
GGGUAAGUUUGGUCAAGCGGCGGGGGUAAUACGGGGAGGUGGAGCGUUAAUCGGGUUUACUGGGCGUAAAGCGGGCGUGGGCGGCUUUGUAAGUCGGAUGUGAAAUCCCCGAGGUUAACUUGGGAAUUGCAUGCGAUACUGGGAAGCUAGAGUAUGGGAGAGGAUGGUAGAAUUCCAGGUGUAGCGGUGAAAUGCGUAGAGAUCUGGAGGAAUACCGAUGGCGAAGGCAGCCAUCUGGCCUAAUACUGACGCUGAGGUACGAAAGCAUGGGGAGCAAACAGGAUUAGAUACCCCGGUAGU